Molecule: long non-coding RNA, 846 nt
Organism: Nannospalax galili (Upper Galilee mountains blind mole rat)
Lineage: Eukaryota; Metazoa; Chordata; Mammalia; Rodentia; Spalacidae
Exons: 2
Source: RefSeq, a predicted model, not a curated record
UCCAGCCCCUCCACCCUGUCUUUCUGAGGCAGGGUCUCUCACUGAGCUUUGAAGUUCACUAAUUGGCCAGGCUUGCUGUCCGCGGGGCCCCAGGAUCCACCCACCUCAACCUCCCCAUAAAAGCUGAGUGUGCAUGCUGGGGCUCCGAACUCAGGUCUUCAUUCCCAGACAUCAAGCGCUUGACCAUCAGACCAGCCUCCCCAUCACCUUCCUUUCUCUCUCCUCAACUCUGACCUCUCUCUCCUCUUCCCUUUCUCCUUUGCCCUCUCGCUCGCUUGCUCCCUCCCCUUCUUUUCCAAUUCUCAACCCCACCAGCCUCCCAGUGGAUCCCUCUCCUGCCCUGUCUCCCUGCCUCCUGCCCUGGUGCUGGAAGGUCCCUCAGGCUCUGAGAGGGAGGUGGAGAAGGGACUUCUGUGACACAUUUUCUCUUUUCUGUCUGUCCUGGAUGCUGGACACUGCCUGGAGGAAUGGAAAUCAGGAGGCGGGAAGCAAAGAACCAGCUAUCUGCAGAAGCAGCCAGCAUCAGCAAUGGAGGACUUCAGCUGACUUCCAUUUCCCAGAUGAAAACAUCUCUGCAUGACGCCAAAGCUCAGCAGCCCAGGACCACCAACGCUGCCCCCCAUGGGGGCACCUCUGUGUGUGGAGGACCCCAGUACCAGCCUGGGAGGCCCACGUCUGCGGGACUCGGCCACCACCUGCUGACAUCAAGUGGACCUGCAGCCUGGCCGUACUAAACAACAGGAAAUUGUUCCCGAUGGUGGUGGAGGACGCUGUGGGAUGGGGGGGGGGGGUGGUACGACAUGGAACAUGCUGUGAAAAUAAACAUUUUUACUCCUAAUACACACA